UACGUAGGGGGCUAGCGUUGUCCGGAAUCAUUGGGCGUAAAGCGCGUGUAGGCGGCCCGGUAAGUCCGCUGUGAAAGUCGGGGGCUCAACCCUCGAAUGCCGGUGGAUACUGUCGGGCUAGAGUGCGGAAGAGGCGAGUGGAAUUCCUGGUGUAGCGGUGAAAUGCGCAGAUAUCAGGAGGAACACCUAUUGCGAAGGCAGCUCGCUGGGACGUAACUGACGCUGAGACGCGAAAGCGUGGGGAGCGAACAGG
Molecule: ribosomal RNA, 253 nt
Filed under: uncultured bacterium
Lineage: Bacteria
Description: partial 16S ribosomal RNA
Rfam family: Bacterial small subunit ribosomal RNA
Source: RNAcentral